This 255-nucleotide ribosomal RNA is filed under the name uncultured marine alveolate. RNAcentral's name for it is "partial 18S ribosomal RNA". It matches the Rfam family "Eukaryotic small subunit ribosomal RNA", at positions 624 to 880 of the family's 1831-position model. The record is from RNAcentral.
GGUAGAAGCUCGUAGUUGGAUUUUCUGUUGAGGUCGACGGUGCACACCUCGUGGUUAUUUGGUUCGGUCUCGGCAUCCUCUUGGGGAACGUUUCAGGACUUAAUUGGACUGGGCGAGAUUCAAGACUUUUACUUUGAGGAAAUUAGAGUGUUCACGGCAGGCAAGUGCUUUGAAUACAUUAGCAUGGAAUAAUAAUAUAGGACCUUCGUUCUAUUUUGUUGGUUUCUAGAACUUAGGUAAUGAUUAAUAGGGACA